AUGGCAUCCAAAGCAUUGGCAGGUCUGGUGGUCCUUGUACUGCUCGCAGGCGGCGAGCUUGGCCGCGCCGAGCUGGCGAAGAACGUGAACGCCAUGGAUGGAGCAUCAGCAACCACUACUCAUCGCCACGCCAGGAUCGGUAACGGCCUCAACUUACUAAUCCUCCAGUUUCUUGCGCUGCGAAUUGGAAAAAGAAUUAGCUGCACUCAUCUUGUUUGUUUGGGAUGA
Molecule: ribosomal RNA, 228 nt
Filed under: Triticum aestivum (bread wheat)
Lineage: Eukaryota; Viridiplantae; Streptophyta; Magnoliopsida; Poales; Poaceae
Description: partial small subunit ribosomal RNA
Source: RNAcentral